AUUGAACGCUGGCGGCAUGCCUAACACAUGCAAGUCGAACGAGUGGCGGACGUGUGAGUAAUGUCUGGGAAACUGCCUGAUGGAGGGGGCUAACUACUGGAAACUGUAGCUAAUACCGCAUACCAUCGGAUGUGCCCAGAUGGGAUUAGCUAGUAGGUGGGGUAAAGGCUCACCUAGGCGACGAUCCCUAGCUGGUCUGAGAGGAUGACCAGCCACACUGGAACGGAGACACGGUCCAGACUGCAACGGGAGGCAGCAGUGGGGAAUAUGGCACGAUGGGCGGAAGAAUGAUGCAGCCAGGCCGCGUGUAUGAAGAAGGCCUUCGGGGUGUAAAGUACUUGCAGCGGGGAGGCGUUACCCGCAGAAGAAGCAACGGCUAACUCCGUGCCAGCAGCCGCGGUAAUAC
This 406-nucleotide ribosomal RNA is filed under the name uncultured bacterium. Its description in RNAcentral is "partial 16S ribosomal RNA". It matches the Rfam family "Bacterial small subunit ribosomal RNA", at positions 29 to 526 of the family's 1533-position model. The record is from RNAcentral.